GCGGUCGUGGCGUAAUCGGCUAACGCGCCAGGCUUCCACCCUGGAAACGCGGGUUCAAUUCCCGCCGGCCGUU
RNAcentral lists this transfer RNA (73 nucleotides) under Kibdelosporangium aridum. RNAcentral describes it as "tRNA-Gly". It matches the Rfam family "tRNA". From Rfam's summary of the family: Transfer RNA (tRNA) molecules are approximately 80 nucleotides in length. Their secondary structure includes four short double-helical elements and three loops (D, anti-codon, and T loops). Further hydrogen bonds mediate the characteristic L-shaped molecular structure. tRNAs have two regions of fundamental functional importance: the anti-codon, which is responsible for specific mRNA codon recognition, and the 3' end, to which the tRNAs corresponding amino acid is attached (by aminoacyl-tRNA synthetases). tRNAs cope with the degeneracy of the genetic code in two manners: having more than one tRNA (with a specific anti-codon) for a particular amino acid; and 'wobble' base-pairing, i.e. permitting non-standard base-pairing at the 3rd anti-codon position. The record is from RNAcentral. Lineage: Bacteria; Bacillati; Actinomycetota; Actinomycetes; Pseudonocardiales; Pseudonocardiaceae.